Molecule: long non-coding RNA, 612 nt
Filed under: Homo sapiens (human)
Lineage: Eukaryota; Metazoa; Chordata; Mammalia; Primates; Hominidae
Description: HSALNT0258484
Source: RNAcentral
AUUUACCCAGCGGACAAUGACCAGAAGGUCCUUUGCAUGGGAAGCUUGUUUCCUGAGGCCUCCCAACCAGUGGACGUCCUGGUGGCUGUUGUCUGAGCUCUGUCCAGCUUAUGCCUGCCUGACCAUUGCUCUGGCACUGGGAGUCCAACCUCAUGUUCCCAGCAUCCCGGGGAAACGCAGCCUGGGGAAGCCCCCGGUUCUUCAGCUGGAAGGGAGAAACCAACAGUGCACAAAAUGGUGACUGUCACCAGACACUGAAUCUGCCAGCACCUGGAUCCUGGACUUCCUAGCCUCCAGAACAGACUGCAAGCAGACAGUCACUCUGCAUGGCCCCACUGUAAGGAUGUCAACCUUUAGCGGCAGCUUGGACCUUCAAGGGGUCAUCAGCAGAGCCGCACUGAUCAGCUGCUCGGAGUCCAGCUCUGACUGAUGAAGUCAGCUAAUGGUCCACGCGCCCCUUCUCAUUAAUAACUCACCUCCAUGGGCAGCUGGGUCCAGGUCUCUGCCCCUGGUAUCACAUUAUAUGAUAAUUAUAUUCAGAUUAGUUUUUCAUAUCCUUUGGACAGAGACAUGCUAAUUUGGGUACUUAGACAUUAAAAUCUUAUAAAGUUC